This 225-nucleotide long non-coding RNA is filed under the name Mytilus galloprovincialis (Mediterranean mussel). The record is from RNAcentral. Lineage: Eukaryota; Metazoa; Mollusca; Bivalvia; Mytilida; Mytilidae.
AUUACAUUAAUAAAUGUACCUGAUACUAUCUAGAAAAACUACCUUAUCAAUUUCAGAUAGGUAAAACAGAGGCAAAAAUUCCCGAAAGGAUAUUCAAACCCAUUAGACAAAAAUAAACCGACAACACCAUAACAAAGUACGAAAAAGACCAAACAAACGUACAACUGUGCACACAACACAACAUAGUAAACAAAAACAGAGCCCUAAGUACCCUACAGAAUACCA